This is a long non-coding RNA of Homarus americanus (American lobster), 544 nucleotides long. RefSeq lists it as uncharacterized. Lineage: Eukaryota; Metazoa; Arthropoda; Malacostraca; Decapoda; Nephropidae. The record is from RefSeq and is a predicted model, not a curated record. The transcript is spliced from 4 exons.
AAGAGACGUAAGUUCAGGAAAGUCCUCAGUCACGUUCUUCUCGUCAGAGGUCGUACACACGCGGAGUUGAUCACAACUAACCUAACCAACUCUCUCGUCAGUCACAAACAGUGAGGGUGAUGGCUGGCUACCUGACCUGCCUGACGUGGGUGUUGCUGCUGGCUCUCUGCUACACGCCCACACCUGCUCACUCUGAGAACGUUGGGUUGGUAAGUGAUGGUAGAGGCCAGAGGCUGACCCGAAACGUUCAUUUAAUCAUCGCAGGAGGACAUGACGCCUACAGACCAGGACCGGGAGCGCUAUUAAGGACUCGACCAGGCCGCCGUGGCUGGAGUCCACCAAUAAGAAAGGGUCCUCCUCUCACCCAGUUUGCAUAACCAACAGUUCUAUACGUCUGACAUUCCUGAAGCCCUGCAUACCAUCUUAGGGCCAAUAUAUUAUCACUGAAAUCUUCAGCACUUCUAAAGAAAUAUAUCAAUUCUACAAUUCAUAAAAUGUAUUUAUUUAGUGUAUAAGAAUUUAUAAAUAAAGUUGCGAAACCAUC